RNAcentral lists this ribosomal RNA (460 nucleotides) under uncultured bacterium. RNAcentral's name for it is "partial 16S ribosomal RNA". It matches the Rfam family "Bacterial small subunit ribosomal RNA", at positions 338 to 795 of the family's 1533-position model. The record is from RNAcentral.
CCUACGGGUGGCAGCAGUGGGGAAUAUUGGUCAAUGGACGAAAGUCUGAACCAGCCAAGUAGCGUGCAGGAUGACUGCCCUAUGGGUUGUAAACUGCUUUUAUGAAGGAAUAAAAUGAGGCACGUGUGCCUUUUUGCAUGUACUUUAUGAAUAAGGACCGGCUAAUUCCGUGCCAGCAGCCGCGGUAAUACGGAGGAUCCGAGCGUUAUCCGGAUUUAUUGGGUUUAAAGGGAGCGUAGAUGGGUUGUUAAGUCAGUUGUGAAAGUUUGCGGCUCAACCGUAGCAUUGCAAUUGGUACUGGCAGUCUUGAGUACAGUUGAGGUAGGCGGAAUUCGUGGUGUAGCGGUGAAAUGCUUAGAUAUCACGAAGAACUCCGAUUGCGAAGGCAGCUUACUAAACUGCCACUGACAUUGAUGCUCGAAAGUGUGGGUAUCAAACAGGAUUAGAUACCCGUGUAGUC